UUAUAUGAUCAAGUAAAGGAAGAGCACAAGGCGGAUGCCUUGGCAGCAUAAGGCGAUGAAGGACGUAGUAACCUGCGAUAAGCCUCGGGAAGUUGGUAAACAAAUUUUGAUCCGAGGAUUUCCGAAUGGGAAAACCCAAUAUACAUAAGUAUAUUAUCUUAUACUGAAUACAUAGGUAUAAGAAGCAAACCCAGGGAACUGAAACAUCUAAGUACCUAGAGGAAAAGAAAUCAAUUGAGAUUCCGGUAGUAGCGGCGAGCGAAACUGGAACAGCCCUUAAGCUUAUUUUAGUCCAGCAAAAUAUUCUGGAAAGUUUAGCCAUAGUAGGUGAUAGCCCUGUAUGUGAAAGACUAAUAUAAGUGAAAUCGAGUAGGUCGGGACACGUGAAAUCUUGACUGAACAUGGGGGGACCAUCCUCCAAGGCUAAAUACUCUAUGCUGACCGAUAGUGAACCAGUACCGUGAGGGAAAGGCGAAAAGAACCCCGGCGAGGGGAGUGAAAUAGAACCUGAAAUCUUGUGCUUACAAGCAGUCGGAGCAGACUUGUUCUGUGACGGCGUACCUUUUGUAUAAUGGGUCAACGACUUGGUCUGGCUAGCAAGCUUAAGCCGUUAGGUGUAGGCGUAGCGAAAGCGAGUCUUAAUAGGGCGAUUAAGUUAGUCGGAUCAGACCCGAAACCGAGUGAUCUAGGCAUGUCCAGGAUGAAGGUGCGGUAACACGCACUGGAGGUCCGAACCCACAUCUGUUGAAAAAGAUCGGGAUGAGGUGUGCCUAGGGGUGAAAGGCCAAUCAAACUCGGAGAUAGCUGGUUCUCCGCGAAAUCUAUUUAGGUAGAGCGUUAGACGAAUACCCCCGGGGGUAGAGCACUGGAUGGGUAAUGGGGCCACACAGGCUUACUGAUCCUAACCAAACUCCGAAUACCGGGGAGUAAUAUCUAGCAGACACACAGCGGAUGCUAACGUCCGUUGUGGAAAGGGAAACAACCCUAACCUCCAGCUAAGGCCCCUAAUUCAUGGCUAAGUGGGAAAGCAGGUGACACGACCAAAACAACCAGGAUGUUGGCUUAGAAGCAGCCAUCAUUUAAAGAAAGCGUAACAGCUCACUGGUCUAGAUAAGUUGUGCUGCGGCGAAGAUGUAACGGGGCUCAAGCCAUGAGCCGAAGCUGAGGACACUGUAAAGUGUGGUAGCGGAGCGUUCCGUGAUAUAAAUUCAUACGACUUUUAGUGCACUUCCGAGUGCAUUGAUGUCGAGUGAGUUUUUCUGUGAAGCCGGGCUGUAAGGCAUCCGGUGGAGAGAUCGGAAGUGAGAAUGUUGACAUGAGUAGCGAUAAACAGGGUGAGAGACCCUGUCGCCGAAAGUCCAAGGGUUCCUGCUUAAAGCUAAUCUGAGCAGGGUAAGCCGACCCCUAAGGCGAGGCCGAAAGGCGUAGUCGAUGGGAACCAGGUUAAUAUUCCUGGGCCAGGAGAGUGUGACGGAUCACGAGUGUAGUAUGGUCUUAUUGGAUUGAUCGUGCUGCUUAGUGGUUCCUGGAAAUAGCCCUCCAUUAAGAUCGUACCCUAAACCGACACAGGUGGACAGGUAGAGUAUACCAAGGCGCUUGAGAGAACUGUAUUGAAGGAACUCGGCAAAAUACCUCCGUAAGUUCGCGAGAAGGAGGCCCUACGUUUAGGCAACUAGAUGUAGGGGACACAACCCAGGGGGUGGCGACUGUUUACUAAAAACACAGGGCUCUGCGAAGCCGUAAGGCGAUGUAUAGGGUCUGACGCCUGCCCGGUGCCGGAAGGUUAAGAGGAGGUGUGCAAGCACCGAAUUGAAGCCCCGGUAAACGGCGGCCGUAACUAUAACGGUCCUAAGGUA
This 1856-nucleotide ribosomal RNA is filed under the name uncultured gamma proteobacterium MB11B08. RNAcentral's name for it is "bacterial LSU rRNA". It matches the Rfam family "Bacterial large subunit ribosomal RNA", at positions 1 to 1958 of the family's 2925-position model. Lineage: Bacteria; Pseudomonadati; Pseudomonadota; Gammaproteobacteria. The record is from RNAcentral.